This 73-nucleotide transfer RNA is filed under the name Stegodyphus mimosarum. It matches the Rfam family "tRNA". Rfam says of the family: Transfer RNA (tRNA) molecules are approximately 80 nucleotides in length. Their secondary structure includes four short double-helical elements and three loops (D, anti-codon, and T loops). Lineage: Eukaryota; Metazoa; Arthropoda; Arachnida; Araneae; Eresidae. The record is from Rfam by way of RNAcentral.
GCCUUCGUGGUGUAGUGGUCAGCACGCUCGACGCGUAACCUAGAGGUCCGCGGUUCGAUUCCCGGCGAAGGCU